Long non-coding RNA from Malania oleifera, 575 nucleotides. RefSeq lists it as uncharacterized. The record is from RefSeq and is a predicted model, not a curated record. The transcript is spliced from 3 exons. Lineage: Eukaryota; Viridiplantae; Streptophyta; Magnoliopsida; Santalales; Ximeniaceae.
AUCGAUUCUCCCGCGGACAAACGUUUCGGGUUUCAGUCUCCUUCAAUUCUCAAAUCCUAAUGAGCCCUCCGGGAACUCCUAAAGCUCCAUUGAUAUCCUCGCGCUGUUCCCUCUCGGCGUCAAUGGCAUCACGCUCUCCUCCAUUCUCUCAAAUGAUCGAGUAGAUUCGUGUUGAGGAAGCUGGGGGAGUUCUAGGGCUUCUGUGAUUGGAAUUGAUCCGCACUGGCUUGAAUUCAUGAACUCUGGCUACUCCAUGACGAAGGGCUUAUAGGAAAUCAAGCUUAGGAGCUCCAGAGCGGGACUUAGACGAUCUCGCUGAGGGUGAGUGUUGGUGGGACACUGUUCUGUUUAUAAUUAGGUAAUAUGAAUUUUGAGUAUGGUAGAUGUAAUGGUUGUGAGGUAGUACUUUGGUACAUAUGGAAUGGAUGGUCUUUUUGCUUCUAUUGUAUGCAUUUAAAUUAUGUUAUGGAAAGAAUGUACCCGGGACCCCCUUUUGGGUUCGAGUUGUCACCAUUGUGGUAUCAGAGAUAUUGUGUUAUUAUAUGUGAAUAAAUGUAUUAUUGUUAUUAUGUUAA